RNAcentral lists this unclassified non-coding RNA (405 nucleotides) under soil metagenome. RNAcentral describes it as "partial contains 5.8S ribosomal RNA, internal transcribed spacer 2, and large subunit ribosomal RNA". The stretch from base 1 to 121 matches the Rfam family "5.8S ribosomal RNA", at positions 35 to 154 of the family's 154-position model. The record is from RNAcentral.
GAUGAAGAACGUAGCGAAAUGCGAUAAGUAAUGUGAAUUGCAGAAUUCAGUGAAUCAUCGAAUCUUUGAACGCACCUUGCGCCCUUUGGCCAUUCCGAAGGGCAUGCCUGUUUGAGUAUCAUGAACACCUCAACUCUUUAUGGUUUUCCAUGAUGAGCUUGGACUCUGGGGGUUUUGCUGGCUCACAGUCGGCUCCUCUAAAAUGAACCAGCUUACCAGUGUUUGGUGGGUAUCAUGGGUGUGAUAACUAUCUACGCUUGUGGUUUUUCCACCAGGUAACCUUCAGCAGUGGAGGUUCGCUGGAGCUCAUAGAUGUCUCUCCUCAGUGAGGACAGCCCUUUGAAUGUUUGAUCUCAAAUCAGGUAGGACUACCCGCUGAACUUAAGCAUAUCAAUAAGCGGAGGA